RNAcentral lists this transfer RNA (73 nucleotides) under Camelus bactrianus (Bactrian camel). It matches the Rfam family "tRNA". From Rfam's summary of the family: Transfer RNA (tRNA) molecules are approximately 80 nucleotides in length. Their secondary structure includes four short double-helical elements and three loops (D, anti-codon, and T loops). RNAcentral also lists the same sequence under 2 other names. The record is from Rfam by way of RNAcentral. Lineage: Eukaryota; Metazoa; Chordata; Mammalia; Artiodactyla; Camelidae.
GAGGGUAUAGCUCAAGUGGUAGAGCACAUGCCUAGCAUGCCUGAGGCCCUGGGUUCAAUCCCCAGUACCUCUG